CCUACGGGAGGCAGCAGUGGGGAAUAUUGGGCAAUGGAGGAAACUCUGACCCAGCGACGCCGCGUGCGGGAUGAAGGCCUUCGGGUUGUAAACCGCUUUCAGUAGGGAAGAAGCGAAAGUGACGGUACCUACAAAAGAAGCACCGGCUAACUAUGUGCCAGCAGCCGCGGUAAUACAUAGGGUGCAAGCGUUGUCCGGAAUUAUUGGGCGUAAAGAGCUCGUAGGUCGUUUGUUACGUCGGAUGUGAAAACCUGAGGCUCAACCUCAGGCCUGCAUUCGAUACGGGCAAACUAGAGUUUGGUAGGGGAGACUGGAAUUCCUGGUGUAGCGGUGGAAUGCGCAGAUAUCAGGAGGAACACCAAUGGCGAAGGCAGGUCUCUGGGCCAAUACUGACACUGAGGAGCGAAAGUCUGGGGAGCGAACAGGAUUAGAUACCCUGGUAGUCCAGACCGUAAACGGUGGGGCACUAGUUGUGGGAACCUUCCACGGUUUCUGCGACGCAGCUAACGCAUUAAGUGCCCCGCCUGGGGAGUACGAUCGCAAGAUUAAAACUCAAAGGAAUUGACGG
RNAcentral lists this ribosomal RNA (568 nucleotides) under uncultured bacterium. Its description in RNAcentral is "bacterial SSU rRNA". It matches the Rfam family "Bacterial small subunit ribosomal RNA", at positions 338 to 916 of the family's 1533-position model. The record is from RNAcentral.